UAGAUAUUUGAUUUAAAUGCGUGAAUCUCUAUCAACCAUUCAGACGGCAAAUAAAAACCAUGUAUUUUCCAAAACCGCAUUUUCUUCAUCUUCUCCAUUAGGUUAUGAAGAUUUUCUUAAGAUUGCUUAAUUGAAUUGUACAUCAAUCUUCUGCAAUCAAAUAUUCCCUCUUUAUUGGAUAUGGUUCUAAUUCAUGAAGGAGUGAUGAAACCUGUUAACACACUUAAAGGACAUGGUGUAGAGGAAGACGAUCCUCUUACUGAAUAGGCCCAUUGUGGUUCUGCAUCAUUGAAUCAAUGAUUUACCACAGGUUUGAAUCGGCAACAUACCGCCGCUGUUUGAAGAGCCUGACAUGAUCAAGCGCAUUGCGUUGGUGGCUGAUCUUUAUUUCAAUCCACUGAGAGCAAUAAGGGUGGCAAAUCGAUCAUUCUACAUGAGAAGAUCUUCAACUCUAAGCAGUCUAAGGAAGUACCAGAUCAAGCAUUGGCGUUAACUAUGUUUGAUGCAUCGGCCAAAAAUACUACAGAGCCUGCUAGCCAUGAUCCAGGUACGUGCAUGGAACUUGUGAAUGGGAAUGAGGAUGUGGUUAGUCCAAAUAGCAAUGCUGAAAUGGCUCUUGAGGAGCAGACAGGUAUGCUUGAGCUGGCUGUAGGAAAAGAAAAACAAAAUAGAGGUGACAAGCGUACCCAACCUCCCUCUCCUGCCAAGUCUCCACAGAAACUCAAAAUACUGCUGCCUGAACUUUUCAAACCACUUCUGACUGAGGUGCCAGCAAAAAAGCAAAAAAUGCCAAUGUUCACAAGCAAAUUCUCUACUAGAUCCUUGGGUAUGAUUGAAGCUCCAGGGAACAUUCUUGUGCCAAAAGAUGUGAUGCAGCCAAAGCCUGAACCAAAGAAGAAAAGGGGAAGGCCUCUGGGAUCCAGGAAUAAAAAUCCCCCAAAAUCAAAGAAGAUUGUGGAAGCACAAGAACAAUGUUUAGCUUAUCUUUCCAAACCUCCUAGCCCAACUAUUAAGGGCAAGGAGAAAAUUUAUAAGUUUAGUUUUUAUUUCUGAAUUUGCCUAAUUGCUAUGUGUUACUUUUUAUAGUUCUUAGGCUCGUUGAAUAAGUGAGCACUGGUUGUCUAAUGUGUG
Long non-coding RNA from Rosa chinensis, 1131 nucleotides. RefSeq lists it as uncharacterized. The transcript is spliced from 3 exons. Lineage: Eukaryota; Viridiplantae; Streptophyta; Magnoliopsida; Rosales; Rosaceae. The record is from RefSeq and is a predicted model, not a curated record.